GGUCCUGUGGUCUAAUGGUUAGGACUUUGGAUUUUGAUUCCAGCAGCGAGGGUUCGAUUCCCUCCAGGACCU
Trichoderma gamsii is the source of this 72-nucleotide non-coding RNA. The record is from Rfam. Lineage: Eukaryota; Fungi; Ascomycota; Sordariomycetes; Hypocreales; Hypocreaceae.